This 398-nucleotide ribosomal RNA is filed under the name uncultured bacterium. RNAcentral's name for it is "partial 16S ribosomal RNA". It matches the Rfam family "Bacterial small subunit ribosomal RNA", at positions 523 to 918 of the family's 1533-position model. The record is from RNAcentral.
AUACGUAGGGUGCGAGCGUUGUCCGGAAUUACUGGGCGUAAAGAGCUCGUAGGUGGUUUGUCGCGUCGUCUGUGAAAUUCCGGGGCUUAACUCCGGGCGUGCAGGCGAUACGGGCAUAACUUGAGUACUGUAGGGGAGACUGGAAUUCCUGGUGUAGCGGUGAAAUGCGCAGAUAUCAGGAGGAACACCGGUGGCGAAGGGGGGUCUCUGGGCAGUACCUGACGCUGAGGAGCGAAAGCAUGGGUAGCGAACAGGAUGAGAUACCCUGGUAGUCCAUGCCGUAAACGGUGGGCGCUAGGUGUAGGGGUCUUCCACGACUUCUGUGCCGUAGCUAACGCAUUAAGCGCCCCGCCUGGGGAGUACGGCCGCAAGGCUAAAACUCAAAGGAAUUGACGGGG